RNAcentral lists this ribosomal RNA (198 nucleotides) under uncultured bacterium. RNAcentral's name for it is "partial 16S ribosomal RNA". It matches the Rfam family "Bacterial small subunit ribosomal RNA", at positions 147 to 334 of the family's 1533-position model. The record is from RNAcentral.
CACUCCCGAAAGGGAAAUGCUAAUACCGCGUAAGACCACGCUCACUACGGUGAAAGUGGUUAAAGGUGCCUCAAAGCACCACCAGAGGACGAGCCUGCGUCCCAUCAGCUUGUUGGUAAGGUAAUGGCUUACCAAGGCGAAGACGGGUAGCUGGUCUGAGAGGAUGAUCAGCCACACUGGCACUGGAACACGGGCCAG